UGCUCUACAGCAGCAACUCUUGUCGCAAAGGCAAACUGAAGUACAAGGCUUGAUUUGGUGGCAUUUAUUAACAGAUAUGAAGAAUUCCAGUUAAACUACGAAGAAAAAAUUAAAGACCGUGCGAUUCUUUGCGAAACGCUGAACAACAAAAAAAAAAAUCAUGAAAAACUGGCUGGCGAGUUUCUCGCUAAGUAUUAUGAAUUUUUUGGUUACAGGAAGGAUAACUCUCUUCCCUGCAGUGUAGCAGUAGA
This is a long non-coding RNA of Zophobas morio, 251 nucleotides long. RefSeq lists it as uncharacterized. The record is from RefSeq and is a predicted model, not a curated record. The transcript is spliced from 3 exons. NCBI's taxonomy places the organism in Eukaryota, Metazoa, Arthropoda, Insecta, Coleoptera, Tenebrionidae.